Molecule: non-coding RNA, 3038 nt
Organism: Heterocephalus glaber (naked mole-rat)
Lineage: Eukaryota; Metazoa; Chordata; Mammalia; Rodentia; Bathyergidae
Source: RefSeq, a predicted model, not a curated record
CGGCCCGAGAGGCGCUUGGAGGCGAAGCCCGGCCCCUCUGAUGACGCUGGCCAUGGCUGACUUCGCAGGGCAGCUUCCCGUGGGCCUCACGACCCGGCCUGCCCCCGCCUCCCGGAAGGCUACAGGUACUAAACAAACAAGUGGCUUGAGACAAGAUGCUUCUAAAAGGAAAGCAGAACUAGAAGCAUCUGUGAAAAAGAAGAUUGAGUGUGAAAGAAAAGCUCUACAUUUUGUUGAACAACUGUUAGAAGAGAAUAUCACAGAAGACUUCUUAAUGGAAUGUGGGAAGUUCAUCACCCCUGCUCACUAUAGUGAUGUUGUGGUUGAACGUUCAAUUAUCAAAUUCUGUGGCUAUCCUUUGUGUCAGAAAAAACUGGGCAUCGUACCAAAACAGAAAUAUAAAAUUUCUACCAAAACCAAUAAAGUUUAUGAUAUUACUGAAAGAAAGUCUUUUUGCAGCAGUUUUUGUUACAAAGCAUCUAAGUUUUUUGAAGCACAGAUUCCCAAAACUCCAGUAUGGGUUCGAGAAGAAGACAGACAACCUGAUUUUCAGCUGCUAACAGAAGGACAAAGUUGCCAUUCUGGAGAAGAAGUACAGUUACACAGUAAAGUCAUUAAAACAUCAGAUAUUGAUAAUCCUGCUCAUUUUGAAAAGCAAUAUGAAUCUAGUUCUUCUAGCACUUGUGGUGAUAGUAGCAGUGAUAAUGAACAAGACUUUGUUUCCUCCAUUCUACCGGGAAAGAGACCAAAUGCAACGGGUAUGGGGCCACAGCUGCACCAGAAAAGCAUAAUGAAGAAGAAAGCUGGUCAAAAAACCAACUCCACAGUCAAAGACAAAGAACAGAUAGUAGUAGCAGUCACUGAGCAGUUAGGCAGUUGCAAAUUAGGUAUUCAGGAGAAAGCUGCUGAUUGUGAACUUCCUUUUCAGAAAGUCAGUACUCAAAUUUCUUCAAAUACUCCUUCACAUGAAAGAUUAAAAGCUUCAGGAAAUUUUGAAAACAAAUACAAUAUGUCAGAUAUAACUCUUGUAGGCAUAAGUAAGAAAAGUGCUGAGCAUCUUAAAAAGAAAUUUGCCAAAUCAAACCAAGUUUCUAGUUCAGUGCAGGUCUGUCCUGAAGUUGCAAAGACGAACUUACUUAAAGUUCUGAGGGAGACUUUGAUUGAGUGGAAGACAGAAGAAACUCUGAGAGUUUUGUAUGGCCAAAAUUACGCUUCUGUAUGUCUGAAACCUUCUUCAGCCUGUCUAGUUAAUGAAGAACUUAAUGAAGAUGACAUAAACUCUGACUCAGAUGAUCAUUCCCUUGGCUUAAGGGGAUCUCAGAAUAGCCUGGAUGAGUUUUUAUCUUUUAGAGGCUCAGAUACAGCCACUAAGCCACUACCAAGUUAUGAGAACUUAAAAAAAGAAACUGAAACAUUAAAUCUGAGGAUCAGAGAAUUUUGUAGAGGACAGUAUGUUUUGAAUGAAGAAACUACCAUAUCACAAGACUCAGAAGAGAUCGAACUCGGGUCCUUGAGCUUUGCAGCAGGUGGCGAAACCACUGAGCAUGAUCCCACCUUUCCACUGAUAGAUUCAAGUUCCCAGGACCAGAUUAGAAAACACAUCGUACUCGAAAAAUUGAGUAAAGUAUUGCCUGGACUUUUGGGUCCUCUUCAGAUUACUUUAGGAGAUAUUUACACUCAACUUAAAAAUCUUGUCCGAACUUUCAGAUUAACAAAUAGAAAUAUUAUACACAGUCCUGUGGAGUGGACAUUAAUUGCUGUGGUGUUGCUGUCAUUGUGAACUGCUUUGCUCUACUGCAUGCUUCCUGCUAUGAUGUUCUGCUUCACAGUGGGCGCAGAAGCAACAAAGCCAGACUGACCCCAGUUCUUGGCAUUCAGAAGCAUUCUCCGAAAAAUGUGUUAUUUACACAGUUUAUAGCCACCUUGCUUGAAGAAUUACACUUAAAGAAUGAAGACCUUAAAAGUUUAACCAUCGUAUUUAGAAUUAGCUGUUAACCAGAGGGGUAUAAUUCAGGAAAAGAGAACAGAAGAUGAACUUCUCACCAUAUCUGGAAUUCUAGCCAUAGUCAUGGCCUAGUGGUGACUAAUAAUUAGCUUGGUUCCAAGAAAGAGCUUUACAUUCUCAAGUUUCAUUCCCUAUCACUCAGUGCUUACCUGCAGAGGAUAAUUUUCCCAAACAGAGGAGAACCAUUACCCCAAGAAAAAUAACCCAAGUCCUUGCAUCCUUGGCUAUAAGAGAUAGCAUUUUUAUUUGAAAAAAACUGAAGUCAUAAAUUGAAGCUGGAAUCAAUAUUCAAGAAAAUGUAAUAACCUGGUUUUUCUGAAUGAUACCAGUUAUCAAAGCAAUUGACAAAAAAAAUUACCAUUUGGCCUUCCAAUAUAAACUCUAAAGAACAGUAAAUAGGUCAAUAAAUGCAAUCUAAGAUGAAGUCCUUUAGAAAAGUCUAGACUUCUUUAAAGAAGCUAACUCUCCUGUAAAUGAUCCCAAGCAAGAUAAUUGACCUUACAAGUCCAAAAUGAGAAUCCUGGGAUGUUCUAGAAUCAAUUUUUUUUUUUUUUAAGGGGGAAGCAUUUUAGUUUGUUUAUAAGAGAGAAUCUCUAGAAUUUAGAUUGCUGCCUCCACAGCAGUCAAUGGGAGAUCUCAGACAGUUUGAGGAACUUUAGACACUGGGGAAAAUGACAGAUCCUAAUACCCAACAAUGCAAAUUCUGUUCUUAGCUUUGUGGCCAAGUCAUCUAAAUGGUUUUUUUUUUUCAGUUCUGGGAAAAGAACCCAGGGCUUUGUGCAAGCUAUGCAAGCACCCUCCCCUGAACUACAUCCUCAGCCCAAGUCACCUGAACUUUAUGGACUUCAUUUCAGUUGUCUGUAAAAUAAGGCAGGAGGCCAUACUGUCUCUAUUGAAAAGGACUGAAUGCUACUACCCUAUUGUUGGUCUGGGGCAUCUUUGAUUUUUUUUUUUUUUAAAUCUCAUCUGGAUAUAACCAUUAAAAUUAUAAUGUACUAGAACCAAUAAAGUUCAGCAGGGCCACAGAUUACAA